Molecule: ribosomal RNA, 253 nt
Filed under: uncultured bacterium
Lineage: Bacteria
Description: partial 16S ribosomal RNA
Rfam family: Bacterial small subunit ribosomal RNA
Source: RNAcentral
UACGGGGGGGGCAAGCGUUGUUCGGAAUUACUGGGCGUAAAGGGCUCGUAGGCGGCCAACUAAGUCAAACGCGAAAUCCCUCGGCUUAACCGGGGAACUGCGUCUGAUACUGGAUGGCUUGAGUUUGGGAGAGGGAUGCGGAAUUCCAGGUGUAGCGGUGAAAUGCGUAGAUAUCUGGAGGAACACCGGUGGCGAAGGCGGCAUCCUGGACCAACACUGACGCUGAGGAGCGAAGGCCAGGGGAGCAAACGGG